AUGAUUGGCCAGUCUUGUCGCCAUCAUCUUUACCCAUAUUCAGCAGCUAUGCAAGCCCUUCAGUUGCAAUAUGGUCAACCACACCAACUGGCUCAGAGCGAGAUAGCAGCAAUCCUCACAGCCCCAGAGGUCAAACCAAAUGAUGCUCACAGCUUCCAGAGUUUCGCUCUUCGUGUACACCUCUUAGUGAGUAUGCUUUUGUCGUUGGAGGGUACCAGAGGGAUGGAGUUGAACUGUUGUUCACAUGUAGAUCGCUUACUCAGUAAACUGCCCAAGUACUUAAGAGAUGGCUUCAUAGAGUUUCUCCAGCUGAGAGGGAAGCUCAACUCCCCAAGUAUUAACCCGUACUACCUACAAGACUUUGCUGGAUGGCUCCAAGUCAAGGCUCAGCAACAGCGACUUUCCAGUAGGUUAGUGCAAUGUUACCAGUAUGAAAGAGCUCCCAGCAGUUCAAAAGAGAAGAAUGCAGCCAAACUGAAAAGCCAAAGUACAACCUUGUAUCAUGGUGUAUCACCCACAGAGACCAAAACAUUCUCCAGUCCUAAGGUGUCUUGGAAAAGAACAUCAUCCAAAGUUAUCUGCCUAUUCUGUGGCAGCAAGGAUCACUACAUCACUCGAUGCAGUAGUAUCAGAGAGCUGCCUGUUGCUGAACUUUGCAAGUGGAUUUCGGAGGAAAAGCGCUGCUGGAAAUGUGCUCGUUCCCAUGCCCCUGAGACCUGUAAUCUAAAGAAACCCUGCAGUGACUGUGGUGGUAUUCACCUUCAAGUGCUUCAUGGUGUGGCCCAAAGUCAUACAACCCUUCGUACCGUCCGACCAGACACUACUCACCUCAGUGGCACAAAGGUCACCUUUGAAAUCUCGCCAAGAAAUAACCCAGAGAAACGCUAUCAGGUGUUAGGAGCAUUUACAGCUUCUGGUCUUGAUCUGGUAGAACAGACAUACCCAGUUCAGGCUCUUCGGAGACGGUAUGCACAUCUAAGGGGAGUUCCACUACAGCCAUUUCACAAAGUGCAUCCGCUUGUACUCAUUGGUUCAGACCAAGUUCAUCUCAUUACUGCCAAAGAGCCAAUUUGUCAAGGCAACAAAGGUGGUCCAGUAGCAGUCCAUACAGCUCUCGGGUGGGCUCUUCAAGGAGCAGUAAUGUGUACCACAGACCAGGCACCAGUGCAGCAAUGUUUCUUUAUCUCCAGUGCUCACACAGAUGAUCUUCUCUACAGAAAUGUGGAAGAGUUAUGGCAACUGGACGUAUUGCCCUUUCGCAAAUGA
Long non-coding RNA from Cyprinus carpio (common carp), 1266 nucleotides. The record is from Ensembl. NCBI's taxonomy places the organism in Eukaryota, Metazoa, Chordata, Actinopteri, Cypriniformes, Cyprinidae.